AACUCAGUAGCAUCUUCAGACACUUCUUAAAGUGACACGGUUGUGGCCGAGCUGAAGGUGAUGGCAGCCUGUGGAGGAGAGACUUCAGCAUGCAAACCUCCAUCUGUUCGGCUUGCACCGUCAUUUUCAUUCCAUGCUGCUGGCCUUCAGAUGGCUGCACAGAUGCCCCAUUCACAUCAGUACAGGGACCGUCGCCAGCCAGACAUAAGUGACCAACAGGUUUCUGCCUUACCUUAUUCUGAUCGGAUUCAGCAACCUCUAACUAACCAGGUGAUGCCUGAUAUUGUCAUGUUACAGAGGCGGAUGCCCCAAACCUUCCGUGAUCCAGCUACUGCUCCCCUGAGAAAACUUUCUAUUGACUUGAUCAAAACAUAUAAGCAUAUUAAUGAGGUAAGACUAUU
Molecule: long non-coding RNA, 401 nt
Organism: Camelus dromedarius (Arabian camel)
Lineage: Eukaryota; Metazoa; Chordata; Mammalia; Artiodactyla; Camelidae
Exons: 3
Source: RefSeq, a predicted model, not a curated record